UACGUAGGGUGCAAGCGUUGUCCGGAAUUAUUGGGCGUAAAGAGCUCGUAGGCGGUCUGUCGCGUCGGCUGUGAAAACCCGAGGCUCAACCUCGGGCCUGCAUUCGAUACGGGCAGACUAGAGUUCGGUAGGGGAGUCUGGAAUUCCUGGUGUAGCGGUGAAAUGCGCAGAUAUCAGGAGGAACACCGGUGGCGAAGGCGGGACUCUGGGCCGAUACUGACGCUGAGGAGCGAAAGCGUGGGGAGCAAACAGG
This 253-nucleotide ribosomal RNA is filed under the name uncultured bacterium. RNAcentral's name for it is "partial 16S ribosomal RNA". It matches the Rfam family "Bacterial small subunit ribosomal RNA", at positions 524 to 776 of the family's 1533-position model. The record is from RNAcentral.